GACUAACGCUGGCGGCGUGCCUAAUACAUGCAAGUCGAACGGGAUUCUUUGAUCAGCUUGCUGAGAGAAGGAUCUAGUGGCGGACGGGUGAGUAACGCGUGGGAAUCUGCCUCUUACUGGGGGAUAACAGUGGGAAACUACUGCUAAUACCGCAUAAGAUCUUCGGAUGAAAGGUGCAACUGCACCGGUAAGAGAUGAGCCCGCGUCCCAUUAGCUAGUUGGUGAGGUAAAGGCUCACCAAGGCGACGAUGGGUAGCCGGCCUGAGAGGGUGAACGGCCACACUGGGACUGAGACACGGCCCAGACUCCUACGGGAGGCAGCAGUAGGGAAUCUUCCGCAAUGGGCCAAGCCUGACCGGAGCGACGCCGCGUGAGUGAUGAAGGCCUUCGGGUCGUAAAGCUCUGUUCUUGAGGACGAAUAAGCAGGAGUGGAAGCCCUGGUGAUGACUGUACUCAAGGAGAAGCUCCGGCUAACUACGUGCCACG
Molecule: ribosomal RNA, 486 nt
Filed under: uncultured bacterium
Lineage: Bacteria
Description: bacterial SSU rRNA
Rfam family: Bacterial small subunit ribosomal RNA
Source: RNAcentral